CAGCCAUGCCGCGUGAAGUGAUGAAAGGCCUCUGGGUUGUAAACUUCUUUUAUCUGGGAAAAAACCACCUUUUUCUAAAGGUGUUGACGGUACCACAGGAAUAAGCACCGGCUAACUCCGUGCCAGCGGCCGCGGUAAUACGGAGGGUGCGGGCGUUAUCCGGAUUCACUGGGUUUAAAGGGUGCGGAGGCGGAUUAUUAAGUCCGUGGUGAAAUCUCCCAGCUUAACUUGGAAACUGCCAUGGAUACUAUUAGUCUUGAAUGUUGUGGAGGUUAGCGGAAUAUGUCAUGUAGCGGUGAAAUGCAUAGAUAUGACAUAGAACACCAAUUGCGAAGGCAGCUGGCUACACAAAUAUUGACGCUGAGGCACGAAAGCGUGGGGAUCAAACAGGAUUAGAUACCCUGGUAGUCCACGCCCUAAACGAUGAUUACUCGACAUUUACGAUACACAGCAAGUGUCUGAGCGAAAGCAUUAAGUAAUCCACCUGGGAAGUACGACCGCAAGGUUGAAACUCAAAGGAAUUGACGG
RNAcentral lists this ribosomal RNA (528 nucleotides) under uncultured Chitinophaga sp. RNAcentral describes it as "bacterial SSU rRNA". It matches the Rfam family "Bacterial small subunit ribosomal RNA", at positions 389 to 916 of the family's 1533-position model. The record is from RNAcentral. Lineage: Bacteria; Pseudomonadati; Bacteroidota; Chitinophagia; Chitinophagales; Chitinophagaceae.